CCUACGGGAGGCAGCAGUGAGGAAUAUUGGUCAAUGGACGCAAGUCUGAACCAGCCAUGCCGCGUGCAGGAAGACGGCUCUAUGAGUUGUAAACUGCUUUUGUACGAGGGUAAACGCAGAUACGCGUAUCUCUCUGCAAGUAUCGUACGAAUAAGGAUCGGCUAACUCCGUGCCAGCAGCCGCGGUAAUACGGAGGAUUCAAGCGUUAUCCGGAUUUAUUGGGUUUAAAGGGUGCGUAGGCGGUCGGAUAAGUUAGAGGUGAAAUCCCGAGGCUCAACUUCGGAAUUGCCUCUGAUACUGGUCGGCUAGAGAGUAGUUGCGGUAGGCGGAAUGUAUGGUGUAGCGGUGAAAUGCUUAGAGAUCAUGCAGAACACCGAUUGCGAAGGCAGCUU
Molecule: ribosomal RNA, 392 nt
Filed under: uncultured bacterium
Lineage: Bacteria
Description: partial 16S ribosomal RNA
Rfam family: Bacterial small subunit ribosomal RNA
Source: RNAcentral